This 207-nucleotide ribosomal RNA is filed under the name Triticum aestivum (bread wheat). Its description in RNAcentral is "partial small subunit ribosomal RNA". Lineage: Eukaryota; Viridiplantae; Streptophyta; Magnoliopsida; Poales; Poaceae. The record is from RNAcentral.
AUGGCGGAGGGCUUCCAACUUGGCAUGUCACAGCCGGCAACGCCGUUCGAUUGCGGCGCAGGGUUCAUCAACCCUGCCGGCGCAAUGGACCCCGGGCUCGUUCUCGAGUCCGGGUUUGAUGACUACAUCAGCUUCCUCUGCUCGUUGCCGCAGCUCGGCCCGACGACGUCUCAGGAGCCACCGGAGCGGCAUGCCAGUCGCCGCUAG